This is a non-coding RNA of Nycticebus coucang (slow loris), 496 nucleotides long. The record is from the annotation of a RefSeq genome assembly. Lineage: Eukaryota; Metazoa; Chordata; Mammalia; Primates; Lorisidae.
ACAUUUGCAUGGGCAGCCCCUCCUCUGCCAGCCCAGUGGGGCUGGGAUAAGAGAGGCCUGGGGCCGCCCAGCCCAGGUCUGUGGGCUCAGCAGGGCUGUGUCCACCAUGGGCCUGACUCCUGUCCUCCUCAUGCUCCUCUCUCACUGCACAGGUUCCCUGUCCCUGCCUGUGCUGACUCAGCCGCCCUCCGUCUCUGCCUCUCCCGGAACAACGGCCAGACUCGCCUGCACCCUGAGCAGGGACCUCAGUGUGGGUGGCAAAAACAUGUACUGGUACCAGCAGAAGCCAGGGAGCCCUCCCCGGUUUUUCCUUUACUACUACUCAGACUCAGACAAGCAGCUGGGACCUGGGGUCCCCAGCCGAGUCUCUGGAUCUAAAGAUGCCUCCAGUAACACAGCGUUUCUGCUCAUCUCGGGGCUCCAGACUGAGGACGAGGCUGAUUAUUACUGUCAGGUGUAUGACAGUGGUGCUAAGCACAGUGACAGAGACAGAUGA